Molecule: long non-coding RNA, 5165 nt
Filed under: Lathyrus oleraceus (garden pea)
Lineage: Eukaryota; Viridiplantae; Streptophyta; Magnoliopsida; Fabales; Fabaceae
Description: Pisum sativum (pea) long non-coding RNA (PSAT_LNC009630)
Source: RNAcentral
UACUAUGCACUGUCAGUGUAAAAAGUUAUACACGGUUGAUUCAUGAUAGAAUUAGGUAAAGAGAGAGAAUGAAAAGAAACUCUCAUUGUAUUAUAUGAUGAACAGUAAUACAAGAGGCUACUAUAUAUAGCCAUGUAAUCCAAAACAGAAAAGGUGUUGAGCCGCAUAACAAGCUAACAGCACACCACUAACAAAGCUGACAGCUCAGCAAAACAGAAUAGAAAAAUAAAAAUGAAGGGCAUAUUAGUAAACUACUCUAUUAGUCCCCUUAGAAGCUGAUGGCAGACUGGUCAAGUAGCCUUAUCAUACACACGCAACUUGAACGAAGAGGAACAAACUUCGGCAGCAGAAGGGGCUUAUGUGAGAAUGUCAGCCCAUUGAUCUUGAGCUAGGUACAUGAAAAACAGUCAGACUUUUGCUGAGUACUUUCUCUCGCCAGAAAGAAAAUAUCAACUCCAUAUGCUUAGUCCUGUUGUGAAGAAUAGGAUUGUGAGCCAAAGUACAGUGCUCAAGUUAUCACACAAGAUCUUGGAACUUAGAGGAAUAAUGAGUUCCUUAAGCAAGGACUGAAUCCAAAUGAGUUCAGCAGCUAGCUGAGCCAUACUGCGUAUUCCGCCUCAGCACUGGACCUUGCAACAAGCUGUUGCUUUUUGACCACCAGGAAACACUUAGGCCCAAGAUAUUGCAGCCCUGAAGUAGAUCUCCGGUCAUCAGGGUCUGAUGCCCAGUCUGCAUCACAGAACCCUAGCAACUGCAUUGGUUGCUGAAUAGGAGCAGGCUGAAGAGAAGACCAUGCGUGCAGAGUACCACUUAGGUACCUUAAGAUUCUUUUAACAGCCCUUUCCAAUUGAUCCUCUAAAGGACUUGGACAAAAACUGACAGACUUUGUUGAUUGAAAAAGAAUCUCUGGCCUAGUUAAGGUAGCAUAUUGAAGGGCACCAACCACAGACCGAAACUGAGUAGGGUCAUCAACCGCAGCAGACCCAACCUUGGAAAUUUGCUGCUAGAGAUCAUGGGAGUAGGCAUGCCAUUGGCAUUCAACAUAUAGCCUUGAAAGCAAAUCUGUGACUGUACUUGGUCUGAGAUAAGAGAAGAACCAUUAGGGAGAUGAGUCACUUGAAUCCCUAGAAAAUAAUCAAGGUGUCCCAGCUGUUUGAGAGAGAAAGAAUUAUUGAUAAUGCUUGAUCAAGGAAGCUAUAAAGGAGCAGACUACCCGUGAUGAUUAUAUCAUCUACAUAGACCAGAAUUAGAAUCUGAAGUUUACCUUGAUGCAACAAAAACAGCUAGAUCACAUCUACUAGCCUUAACCGAUUGAACCAAGGCAACACUUUGCUUAUCAAACCAGGCCCUAGGAGCCUGUUUUAAACCAUAAAUAGCCUUAUUUAACUUGCAAAAAGAGUGCUGUCAGCCAACUUCAAAGCCAGGGGGGCUGUUGCUAAGACUUCUUCUUCAAGAGUGCAUUGAGGAAGCAUUGUUAACCAUCAAUCUGCUGCAAUGGCACCUGUUUGUAACAGCAAUAGAAAGAACAUUCUCACAGUGACAGUUUAAUGACAGGAAGAAAUCUCUUGAAAUCAUUACCCAGCCUUUUUGAUGGAACCCUUAGCCACUAAUCUGGCUUUAUACCUGUUAUGAACCAUCAGGAUUCUUCCUUAGUCCUGAACACCCACUUACAUCCAAUAGCUUCCCUUCCAGCAGGCUUCACCAAAGUCCAGUCGAUUUCUCGCAGUGCCUGAUGUUCUUCCUUCAUGGCCUGAAACCAGUUAGGAGCACCAAAGGCUUGUUCACAGAUGUAGUUCAAGGUGGGCUGUUAAUAGAGUAGAGGUGAUCUAGGAAGGUGAUUCUCUUUUGGCUCUAGUUGCAUAGGGGAAUGUUUUGAGGGUUGGAAUGAAGGAAAGCUGUGCAGCAGGUGGGAAAUAGAUAGGCCAGGGAGGGACAACUGAAGGAGGAUAUAAGAGGAGGGAAAGAGUGCUACUUCACUGGAUCAGAGGAAUGAGGCAGGAGAGAAGAGAAGAGGAAUGGGAAUGCAGUGAGUUGAGGGAUAGGUUGCUACCAGGAAGAAUAAGAGUAGUGUAGAGGGCGCAGGAAGAAGGAAGAAGAUGAGGAAUAUAGAAUAGUGGGACUGCUAAGUUGAGAAAAGAGAUUUGAGGAAGAAAGAAGAUAAGAAACAGAUUAGAGUAGAGGAGUAGAGGGAACAGGAGGAAAACUGAGAGAGGAAGGAGAGGAUGGACUAGGUUAGGAGAGAGACAGAUUUUGAAGAAGAAAUCAAGGUGAAUAAGGAAAAUUGCCUUCAUUAAAAACAACAUCCUUGGAAUAAAAAUCGACCAUAUGAAGCAAGGCUUUAUACCUUUGUGAGAGGUAGAUAUCCAAGAAAAUGCACAUUGAGAUCUAAAGUCAAGUUUAUGAGAAUUAUAGGGACGAAGGAAAGGAUACAAGCACAGCCAAAGCUUUAAGUAGUUAGAUCCGGGUUUUUGUGAAGUAAUUUAAAAUAGGUGAGACAUUGUCAAUUAGUGAGAAGUCUGUUAAUGAGAUAUGCAGCUGUGCAAUGCAUAUCCCAGGAAUUUUAAGGAAGGGGACUGAGCAAGGAGUGGAGGCAGUCUCAACAAUGUGCCUGUGCUACGUUCAAAAGGCCAUUUGGUGAUGUGUAUAUGGGACAGUGAAUCAUGUGAACAAUCCCUAAAUCUGUGAGAUAUUUGGUAAGAGGCCUAAACUCACCUCCCCAUCAGUUUGAACACAUUUAAUGGGACAAUUGAACUGAAGUUCAACCAUUUUUUUAAACUGAAGAAACUGAACCAUGGUGUCAGACUAAGUUUUAGAGGAAAAACCCAAACAACCUAGAGAGGCAUCAAUACAGGUUAGAAAUAUGUAUAACCACUGGAAGAUUGCAUAGGGCAGACCCCAGAGAUCAACAUACAACCAGCUCAAAAGGAUGAGAGUAAACUGUGGUAGUAAAAGAAAGAAGGAAGUCUAUGAGACUUGCCAUGCAGCAAGCAUGACAUAACUCAGCAGGGGGUUUAGAUGGAAAGGGACUAAUUACACAUUUGAACGAUUUCAGUGAGGGCAUGAUGAUUGGGUGUCCCAGCCUAGUAUGCCAAAGCACAUAUUUCUUGGAUGCCAAUACGAAUUUGCAGCAUUAAAGUGUGAGGAAGGUAAACAGUACUGACAGAGUUUAGAGAAGGAUUGAAAAAAGGUACUUGUAACAUUAUAAUUGCAAGAUUCAUUACAAGAAGACAAAGAUUAGUAUUGAUUUGCAACCGAUUCAGUACACUGAGAUAUAGAAUCUGUAACAUCUGUCCUAAGGAACCAUUACAAUUGUAUGCUGCAGGAUAACUAUGACCUAGAACUGUAAGAGGAAGAAGACCUUGACAACGGAGGAGCACUGGAUUGGAGAAUUUAUAGAGGCCAUCAGCACCAACAAGACACUGAGUAAGACUUCAGAAGUAGCCUGAGAUUUGACACACAAAACUUAGGAUGAAAUUCAAAAAAAUACAGAAUUAUCUUGAGCAAUUUGCUCACACUCAUAAGGUUUUGUGAUGUGAGGGACAUGUAAGAGAUUGUUAAGAGUGAGAGAUAGAUGAGGUUGUGAGUAAGGAAAAGACAAAACCUACAGAGUUGAUGGACAAACACUUGGCCGUUACCUAUGAAACUUGUUCAGUUCCAGGCACGGAGGCAGAGUCAGACACAUUAGAGGCAUCAGGAGUAACAUGAUGAAAGCUCCUGAGUCAGGAUACCACCACUGGUUUGCACUGCUAGCUUCAGUACCUGCCAUAAAAGGCUUGUGGUGCAGAAGAUCUGGAGGUGCAGCUCUGGGAGAAGCAUAAGCAAGCGGCACAGGAUAAAACGCACGAGGAGCCACCGUGAAAAGAUUGAAGGAGCUCGAUGAUGUGGAAACUAGCACCACUGGAAUUGGCAUAACGAUAGUAGCAUACAGAAGCAUCAUGACCAGGUUUGUGACAAAUCUGACACGUGAUUUCCCAAAACGACCUCCUCCACGACCAAAACGACCACCACCGCGACCAGAACGACCACCACGUGCACCAUAGGAAUGUUUUCGCAUUAGCGGUGACGUGACUCGUUCCUUGAGGAAACGCCUCGGAGACGACUUGAUCAGAAGCGCCUGGAGUAGGAGAAGGUGUUGCUUGAGUGAGAUUGACCGUCGCCCGUCGCAGGUUCUGUAAUCGCAGCUUUGCGAUGCUUCUCCAAUCGCGACUCAUGAGCAAGCAAGGAAGACUCCAACUCUUCCAAGGAGCUAACGUCAUCUUUGCUGUUGACGGCGGCGACAAUAAGAUCAUAAUCUCAGUAACGAAUCGAGAACAAUCUCAAUUAGGUUACGAAGAGGAACGGAUCACCGAUGAGUUAGCGACUCACUGAUGUCACGAGAACGCGUCAUAAGCUCAGUAAUCGUUAGUGAACCCUUCGUAAGACGCCGGAGUUCUGAAGCAAGUUGACGAGCCUUGUGAGAGAAGAACAUCAAAGUAGCGAUGAACUUCUGUCCACACCUGCCACGCAUGCUUGCAUCACGAGCUUAGGAAGGAGAGCAUCGGAGAUAGUAAGAGAAGCCCAGGUGCAGAUGAGAGCAUCCUGCUGGUCCCACUCAAGAACGCACUGUGAGAUGUAGGAUCUGAGGAGACGGUGACGGAAUCACCGGAACCGUGACAAAGCGUUGAAGACGAUGACCACGGACGACGCCAUCAAUCUGCUGCUUCCACUGUUUGAAGUUCUUGUCGUCAAGCUUAACAGAAUAGGUGAGAAAGUUUCACCUGAGAGAGAAGGAAUAAAGAUUCCUGGAUCGAAAAAAAUUUAAGCUCUGUAUACCAUGAUAGAAUUAGGUAAAGAGAGAGAAUGAAAGAAACUCUCAUUGUAUUAUAUGAUGAACAGUAAUAAAGAGGCUACUAUCUAUAGCCAUGUAAUCCAAAACAGAAAAGGUGUGAGGCGCAUAACAAGCUAACAGCACACCACUAACAAAGCUGACAGCUCAGCAAAACAGAAUAGAAAAAUAAAAUGAAGGGCAUAUUAGUAAACUACUCUAUUAAUUCAUCACCAUCACCUGUUUGCAUUAUUUUAUAGGUUUUUAAAAUAAAAGUCAAACUUGUUCCAAUAUCCAACGUCUAUGAUUAAAUGACUGUGUAAAAUCCUUUUACACUGUCGGUGUAUUUCAAUUAAAUUCU